This is a long non-coding RNA of Humulus lupulus (European hop), 1288 nucleotides long. RefSeq lists it as uncharacterized. Lineage: Eukaryota; Viridiplantae; Streptophyta; Magnoliopsida; Rosales; Cannabaceae. The transcript has 3 exons. The record is from RefSeq and is a predicted model, not a curated record.
CAUUUCAUUUGGGGCCAAUUCAUUUCCUUCAAUUCCUUCUCCUUUUUCCUCAUCAUUCUCUCUCCUCUCUCUCGGAUCUCUUUCUCCCACCAGACCUAUCUCCUUCACUCUUUCUCUCUCACCUUUGUCUUUGUGGAGACCGACCACUACCUUCCCCUACACGCGCCGGCUAGGGAUCUUCAGAGCCCGUCGAAGCUUCGACCACGCGGGCCCAAACCCUCACACGACACCAGAGGCGAACGACGUCACCGGAGGCCAGCUCUUUUCCUCUUCCCUGUGUGCGGCCAAGCCAUUGUAGUGUUUUGAUGAAAUCUUGAGAGUUUGUACACAAGAAACUGUAAGUGCAUUAGUAACUUUUGGUACUAUUUUGACUCAUUGGUCAGUUAGUGCAUGAACACAUUGUUUGAAUGUAUUAUUUCAGGUUGAGAAGCUUGUUAGGGAUGUUCAGGGACCAUCUUUAUCUCUUGUUCAUGACGUUUGAAGCAUUAUGGUAAUUUUCAAGAAUCUUUUGAAUCUGCCAAAACAAUUUCAGCCCCUGCAUCCAAGACCCUUUCGAAAGUGGGUAAAUCCACUUCUAAUGGUGUUUUGAAGCAUGGAAGCAAAGUAGCAUCUUCUGUAUGUUUCCUUAAAUGCUUACUUCUAGUUCUUUUAUAACUUAUAAUUUUGUAAGGAGAUUAUUAUUAUUUUAUUUUAUUUUUUAAUUUUUUUUCGGUUAAUGAUUUUUUAAAGAGAAUUGUUGGUACGAAGGCUUUGAGGUCAGAAUCAAUUAUGUCCGUUCAAGAUAUAGCAGUUCAAUCGCAGGCUUUACUAAAUGUUAAAGAUUCCAGUAAGGUACAACUUAAGCAAGCAAUUUUUGAAUGUCUCUUACUUUUGAAUAUAUUGACAAGUAAUCAUUUGGACUUUACUUAUCUCCAGGAGGAUAGGGAAAGAUUGGUAGUAAGUAGUUUUAAGUUUGAAGACCCACGGAUAGAACAAAUUCAAGACCUUGAGGUUGUGGAUAUAGUAGUUUCUCAGAUUUGUUUAUUUUGUAUGUAAUUUAAUGCAGAAUUUAUUUAACAUACAUGUUUAUGCAGAAUGAUUUGAUGAAGUACUUCAGAGAGGAUUUGCAUAGACGACUUCUAAGCACAUAUUUUAAGAAGAAAAUUGAUGGGCUUGAGAUGCUGCAAAAGGCACUCCCAUCGAUUGGCAAGGAAAUAGUUGAAGUUCUGGAUAUACUGCUGAGGUGGUUUGUUUUACAAUUCUGUAAAUCAAACACAACAUGUUUGUUGAAGGUAUAGUUUAUUUACUU